RNAcentral lists this RNase P RNA (297 nucleotides) under Flavobacteriales bacterium. RNAcentral describes it as "RNase P RNA component class A". It matches the Rfam family "Bacterial RNase P class A". From Rfam's summary of the family: Ribonuclease P (RNase P) is a ubiquitous endoribonuclease, found in archaea, bacteria and eukarya as well as chloroplasts and mitochondria. Its best characterised activity is the generation of mature 5'-ends of tRNAs by cleaving the 5'-leader elements of precursor-tRNAs. Cellular RNase Ps are ribonucleoproteins. The record is from RNAcentral. Lineage: Bacteria; Pseudomonadati; Bacteroidota; Flavobacteriia; Flavobacteriales.
AGCAAUAAAGGACGCUAUCGCUUCUACAGAAGAGGAAAGUCCGGACACCAUAGAGCAGCAUAGCGGAUAACAUCCGUCCAUUGAAAGAUGAGGACUAGUGCAACAGAAAGCAAGUACAGUGCGGCUGUAGUGAAACCAGGUAAACUCUAUGCGGUGCAAUGCCAUGUAUACCAAGAACAGGAAUGGCUCGUUCAAUCUUGGGGGGUAGGCAGCUUUAGCUUUGCAGUAAUGCAAAGCAUAGAUAAAUGAUAGUGCCCUUUUUGGGAACAGAAUCCGGCUUACGAUUUAUUGCAUGCU